ACGUCAGCGUUUUCAUUCCGGAACGCCCGCGUGUAGUUGAGAUUUAGGGACUUGAAUCAGGUUCGCUGUCACCAUCCAAUUGAUAUGGAAACCGGUCCUUCUCCUUUUCUAACGUCUUCUCAGAACACUCCAUGGCACAGAACCACUCGAUAAAAUCAGCUAAGGAAAAAAGAUGUGAAAUGUAAGAUCAUCUGAAGGGGAGCUUUGGUUCAAGUCAAAUGCAUGCCUCAACUUGGCACAGCCAAAGAGAUGCUUGUAUGAUAGUCAAGAAGACUUUUAAGCUAUUUACAACUUUUAACAAUUGAGUAAAGUAUAUUC
Molecule: non-coding RNA, 318 nt
Organism: Chlorocebus sabaeus (green monkey)
Lineage: Eukaryota; Metazoa; Chordata; Mammalia; Primates; Cercopithecidae
Source: RefSeq, a predicted model, not a curated record